GCAGUAAGGAAUAUUGGUCAAUGGGCGGAAGCCUGAACCAGCCAUGCCGCGUGCAGGAAGACGGCCCUACGGGUUGUAAACUGCUUUUGUACGGGAAUAAACCUUUUACGUGUAAGAAGCUGAAUGUACGGUAAGAAUAAGGAUCGGCUAACUCCGUGCCAGCAGCCGCGGUAAUACGGAGGAUCCAAGCGUUAUCCGGAUUUAUUGGGUUUAAAGGGUGCGUAGGCGGCCUAUUAAGUCAGGGGUGAAAGACGGUAGCUUAACUAUCGCAGUGCCUUUGAUACUGAUGGGCUUGAAUGCACUUGAGGUAGGCGGAAUGUGACAAGUAGCGGUGAAAUGCAUAGAUAUGUCACAGAACACCAAUUGCGAAGGCAGCUUACUAAAGUAUGAUUGACGCUGAGGCACGAAAGCGUGGGGAUCAAACAGGAUUAGAUACCCUGGUAGUCCACGCCCUAAACGAUGAACACUCGAUGUUGGCGAUAUACGGUCAGCGUCUAAGCGAAAGCGUUAAGUGUUCCACCUGGGGAGUACGCCCGCAAGGGUGAAA
RNAcentral lists this ribosomal RNA (547 nucleotides) under uncultured bacterium. Its description in RNAcentral is "bacterial SSU rRNA". It matches the Rfam family "Bacterial small subunit ribosomal RNA", at positions 351 to 899 of the family's 1533-position model. The record is from RNAcentral.